RNAcentral lists this non-coding RNA (29 nucleotides) under Mus musculus (house mouse). Lineage: Eukaryota; Metazoa; Chordata; Mammalia; Rodentia; Muridae. The record is from RNAcentral.
UGCAAGUGCUUCGGCCCCUGGGUCUCUUU